AUUGAACGCUGGCGGCAGGCCUAACACAUGCAAGUCGAACGAGUGGCGGACGGGUGAGUAAUGUCUGGGAAACUGCCUGCUGGAGGGGUAUAACUACUGGAAACUGUAGCUAAUACCGCAUACCAGCGGAUGUGCCCAGCUGGGAUUAGAUUGUUGGUGGGGUAACGGCUCACCAAGGCGCAGAUCCCUAGCUGGUCUGAGAGGAUGACCAGCCACACUGGAAGUGAGACACGGCCCAUACUGCUACGGGAGGCAGCAGUGGGGAAUAUUGCACAAUUGGCGCAAGCCUGAUGCAGCCAUGCCGCGUGUAUGAAGAAGGCCUUAGGGUUGUAAAGUACUUUCAGCGGGGAUGCGUUACCCGCAGAAGAAGCACCGGCUAACUCCGUGCCAGCAGACGCGGUAAUUC
RNAcentral lists this ribosomal RNA (406 nucleotides) under uncultured bacterium. Its description in RNAcentral is "partial 16S ribosomal RNA". It matches the Rfam family "Bacterial small subunit ribosomal RNA", at positions 30 to 526 of the family's 1533-position model. The record is from RNAcentral.